Molecule: ribosomal RNA, 229 nt
Filed under: uncultured bacterium
Lineage: Bacteria
Description: partial 16S ribosomal RNA
Rfam family: Bacterial small subunit ribosomal RNA
Source: RNAcentral
GAUCCUGGCUCAGGAUGAACGCUAGCUACAGGCUUAACACAUGCAAGUCGAGGGGCAGCAUGGUCUUAGCUUGCUAAGGCCGAUGGCGACCGGCGCACGGGUGGGUAACACGUAUCCAACCUGCCGUCUACUCUUGGACAGCCUUCUGAAAGGAAGAUUAGUACAAGAUGGCAUCAUGAGUUCACAUGUUCACAUGAUUAAAGGUAUUCCGGUAGACGAUGGGGAUGCG